Small nuclear RNA from Hyla sarda, 183 nucleotides. RefSeq annotates it as U2 spliceosomal RNA. NCBI's taxonomy places the organism in Eukaryota, Metazoa, Chordata, Amphibia, Anura, Hylidae. The record is from RefSeq and is a predicted model, not a curated record. The transcript has a single exon.
UUCACUUCUGGCCUAUUGACUAAGAUCAAGUGCAGUUUAGGUUCUUAUCAGUUUAAUAUCUGAUACUUCCCCUAUACGGACACCAUAUAGCACAUGGAUUUUUCAGUACGUGGGCCGAUGUGGAAGCUUGCUUUUGUUGACCCACUAUGGUGGUAUCUUCGGGUACAGUACACCAAAAGAUAU